RNAcentral lists this ribosomal RNA (497 nucleotides) under uncultured bacterium. Its description in RNAcentral is "partial 16S ribosomal RNA". It matches the Rfam family "Bacterial small subunit ribosomal RNA", at positions 28 to 507 of the family's 1533-position model. The record is from RNAcentral.
GAUGAACGCUGGCGGCGUGCCUAAUACAUGCAAGUCGAGCGAACAGAUGAGGAGCUUGCUCCUCUGACGUUAGCGGCGGACGGGUGAGUAACACGUGGAUAACCUACCUAUAAGACUGGGAUAACUUCGGGAAACCGGAGCUAAUACCGGAUAAUAUAUUGAACCGCAUGGUUCAAUAGUGAAAGACGGUUUUGCUGUCACUUAUAGAUGGAUCCGCGCCGCAUUAGCUAGUUGGUAAGGUAACGGCUUACCAAGGCAACGAUGCGUAGCCGACCUGAGAGGGUGAUCGGCCACACUGGAACUGAGACACGGUCCAGACUCCUACGGGAGGAAGCAGUAGGGAAUCUUCCGCAAUGGGCGAAAGCCUGACGGAGCAACGCCGCGUGAGUGAUGAAGGUCUUCGGAUCGUAAAACUCUGUUAUUAGGGAAGAACAAAUGUGUAAGUAACUAUGCACGUCUUGACGGUACCUAAUCAGAAAGCCACGGCUAACUACGUG